UGCAGUCGAGCGGACAGAUGGGAGCUUGCUCCCUGAUGUCAGCGGCGGACGGGUGAGUAACACGUGGGUAACCUGCCUGUAAGACUGGGAUAACUCCGGGAAACCGGGGCUAAUACCGGAUGCUUGAUUGAACCGCAUGGUUCAAUUAUAAAAGGUGGCUUUUAGCUACCACUUACAGAUGGACCCGCGGCGCAUUAGCUAGUUGGUGAGGUAACGGCUCACCAAGGCAACGAUGCGUAGCCGACCUGAGAGGGUGAUCGGCCACACUGGGACUGAGACACGGCCCAGACUCCUACGGGAGGCAGCAGUAGGGAAUCUUCCGCAAUGGACGAAAGUCUGACGGNGCAACGCCGCGUGAGUGAUGAAGGUUUUCGGAUCGUAAAACUCUGUUGUUAGGGANNNACAAGUACCGUUCGAAUAGGGCGGUACCUUGACGGUACCUAACCAAAAAGCCACGGCUAACUACGUGCCNNNNNNCGCGGUAAUANNNAGGU
RNAcentral lists this ribosomal RNA (494 nucleotides) under Bacillus sp. (in: firmicutes). RNAcentral's name for it is "Bacillus sp. (in: Bacteria) partial 16S ribosomal RNA". It matches the Rfam family "Bacterial small subunit ribosomal RNA", at positions 56 to 532 of the family's 1533-position model. The record is from RNAcentral. Lineage: Bacteria; Bacillati; Bacillota; Bacilli; Caryophanales; Bacillaceae.